CAUACUUAGAAUCAUGAUGUGUGUGUUUAUAUAUGUAUGCAUAUAUAAAUGUAUUUACAAGUAUAUACAAGUUCACAUACAUACACACACAUAUAUCUUUUAGGUCUA
RNAcentral lists this microRNA precursor (108 nucleotides) under Dipodomys ordii (Ord's kangaroo rat). RNAcentral describes it as "miRNA (ENSDORG00000029100.1)". The record is from RNAcentral. Lineage: Eukaryota; Metazoa; Chordata; Mammalia; Rodentia; Heteromyidae.